GUGGGGAAUAUUGGACAAUGGGCGAAAGCCUGAUCCAGCAAUGCCGCGUGAGUGAUGAAGGCCUUCGGGUUGUAAAGCUCUGUCGGGAGGGAAGAACAAGCCGGUUAACACCCGGCCCUGACGGUACCUCCAAAGGAAGCACCGGCUAACUCUGUGCCAGCAGCCGCGGUAAUACAGAGGGUGCAAGCGUUGUUCGGAAUUACUGGGCGUAAAGCGCGUGUAGGUUGUCGAGUAAGUCGGAUGUGAAAUCCCUCAGCUCAACUGAGGACGUGCAUUCGAUACUGUUCGACUUGAGUACUGGAGGGGGUGGCGGAAUUCCCGGUGUAGAGGUGAAAUUCGUAGAUAUCGGGAGGAACACCUGUGGCGAAGGCGGCCACCUGGACAGUCACUGACACUGAGACGCGAAAGCGUGGGUAGCAAACAGGAUUAGAAACCCCGGUAGUCC
RNAcentral lists this ribosomal RNA (445 nucleotides) under uncultured bacterium. RNAcentral describes it as "bacterial SSU rRNA". It matches the Rfam family "Bacterial small subunit ribosomal RNA", at positions 354 to 796 of the family's 1533-position model. The record is from RNAcentral.